GGGCCCGCACAAGCGGUGGAACAUGUGGUUUAAUUCGACGCAACGCGCAAAACCUUACCUGGAUUUGACAUCCCGGGCUCACCUCAGAGAUGAGGUUUUCUCUUCGGAGACCCGGUGACAGGUGCUGCAUGGCUGUCGUCAGCUCGUGUCGUGAGAUGUUGGGUUAAGUCCCGCAACGAGCGCAACCCUUGUCCCUAGUUGCCAGCAUUGAGUUGGGCACUCUAGGGAGACUGCCGGUGAUAAGCCGGAGGAAGGUGGGGAUGACGUCAAGUCCUCAUGGCCUUUAUGUCCAGGGCUACACACGUGUUACAAUGGGGGUGACAAAGAGUGGCCAAGCUGGCGAAGCUGCGCA
RNAcentral lists this ribosomal RNA (352 nucleotides) under uncultured bacterium. RNAcentral's name for it is "bacterial SSU rRNA". It matches the Rfam family "Bacterial small subunit ribosomal RNA", at positions 917 to 1269 of the family's 1533-position model. The record is from RNAcentral.